CAUUUGCGAGCAAUAAUAGUCCACUUCCUUGUAUUUGCAUCUGAGAACCAGACACUACACUAACUCACUUCAGCAGGUCAUAAGCAGAAUUUGCAGAGAUGGCAUCCGUGACCAUGACAGCCUCAUUCCUAGCUGGUUCGACCAUGGCCAAACAACCCUUGACAACCCCACGCAGAGGGCUGAUCGUGGCUAAGGCCUCAAGAGCCACAGAGGAAGAAAGGGUCAGUGUGGAGAUGAAGAACAAGGAAGAAAGAAGCAGUGGGAGGAGGGAUUUGGUGUUUGCAGCCGCAGUUGCUGCUGCAUUCUCCAUUGCCAAAGUUGCCAUGGCUGACUAUGAGCCUAAGCCGGGUACCCCAGAAGCUAAGAAGAAGUAUGCUCCUAUCUGUGUCACAAUGCCUACUGCUCGUAUCUGCCGCAAGUGAAAGAAUCCUAUCUACUUUAUAAAUUAAUGUUGAUCUUUAGAUUAAUGUAAAAGCUGUAUCCACUUGUAUCUUUUCAUUGGACAAUCCUCUUUGUUAUAUUCUUCUCCUCCUAGUUUUCUUUUCUCUCUCUUUUUAAACAGCUUUACAAAAUUCAUCUUCCCCUUCAGAUGUCUUCUAAUUUAAGGAGUUCAUAUCGGAAACGUUGACAUGUCUUAAACCCCAAUUUUGACUUAAUACCAUCGGAGUUGUCCCUAACUCUCUGGUAGGAAUAACAUUUUGAAUUGGAGACCCAAUUCGAAUUAGCCGAAAAAGAGAUCAACAAGCAGGAAACUUCCGCCAAGCAUUAAGGAUGGUCGCUGGCUUCCACUAACUAUGAGUCCAAUGUUGACCUUUUGUAGUUUAUCAGCUCGACUCAUUCUUGUCUAAUAAUUAAUGUUUAUAGAUGCUAAACUACCUGUCUGCUUCCAAAAUAUGCUGCUCUGACCAACGAUUAUAGAAUUGUCACUCAAGAUUAACAACUAAAUGCCAUUAAAGUUUAUACCUCAAAAUAGAAAAUGCCAGCUUAGUAGUUCAGUAGUUAGAAGAAUUUAAUUCUUGAAAUUAUUUCAUAUAAAAUGAGAAGUUACAUAGAUUUACAUAAACCCAAAAUGGUAACAAUAUGAGAUAAACCAGAUUAAUAAUUCUCAGAGCAAAGAAACCACUCCUGACAUGAAAUGUGUUCCUAAUGCACUGACAGAUUUGUCCUCUGAUCGCACAAUAUUUUAGUAUGAAGCAGCUGAAUACAAGACUUCGAAAUACUAUCCCCACCAGAAAGCACACAAGGAAAUAAUAAUAAUAAUAAAAAUAAAAGAAAAGCAACUUCCAACAUUUUGAUCUGAGUCAAACUGAUUAUUCAUCUGCAAAAACUCUGGGAUUGCACCAAGGUUGCCAUCAAUAAGUGUGCGCAAGAAGACUCCCAGUAAGUUUCUGCGUCCGGUUAUCUAGAACUGCUAAUUGUUGCAAGUCUUUGAGAGUAAACUCAGCCUUUUUUGCUCAGCAGCAACAUUUUUUGUACCGCACAUGAGCACCUCAUUCCCCUUUCCCGUUUUGCUGGGCAGUAGCAUAAUUGCGAAUAAUUUCCAUGGCUAACUGGUGAGCAGUCUUAUUCUGCAGUUUUGCAAGUUCAUCAAUUUUAUCAUAUGUGUCCUUAUCAGAGAAGAGCCUCAGGUUGUACUUGGGGGGUGUAGACACAACGCCUUCCCAUUUGUCAACCCACUCCUGAAGUUUCUCAAAUCCCAUGCGGAUUGUGAAGUCGCCAAAUGAUUCUUUUGAUUGCCUUUUUCGUUUCCAAUAAUAAAACAGAGGUUCCAGAACUUUUUCAAGUUCUUGAAUCUUAACCUUAUUCAUGAAGCUUCUUGCCAAUGCAGUUUGACUGGGUGUUCCCCCAAGCCAAAUCUGUUUCAAAAGAAAAGGAGCAUCAAACUUUUUUCAACAACUCUCAUUUAUAUUCAAGAGAGAGGGGAAAGGAGGGAAGAAUCACUCAAAUUUUUUUCAACAACUUUUUUCACCUGAUAACUAUUGGGACCAUCACCAACAAAUCCAAGUUCAGCCAUGUAUGGUCGAGAACAACCAUUGGGACAACCCGUAAUCCUUAUUACCACAGAUUCAUUGUACGUGAGGCCCACCUUCUCAAAUACAGCCCUAACCCGUUUGAGGAUGUCAGGUAUUCCCCGUUCAGCUUCCGUUAUUGCCAGUGGACAAAGUGGCAUUGCUGGGCAUGCCAUUGCUGUUAAAUUGAGGGGAUCUACAUACUUGGGUUGCAGCAAUCCAGCUUGUGCAAGAGUUGCAGUGAUGGGGCGCUUCCAAGCCUUGCGAAUACCACACAAGAUGAUAUUCUGGUUUGGUGUCAGUUGCACAUCUAAAUUGUACUUCUCUAUUACCUCUCUCAAUGUUUUCUUCAUUUUCCCUCCAAUACGACCAUUAUCAAUGUGGAGCCCACAAAAUAAACCACUAUUUCCCUGCUCAUGCCAUCCCAAGUAACCUUUAAAUCACCACUUUGGCAACUAAAGGAAGUGGUCAAAUUUCUUUAAAUCUCAACAACACUCCUAACUUCUUAAUCCCACCGGGAGUUGAUCUUUGAACCAGGAUUGAUCCCAUGCUUUGUAACUUCUGAAAAAAUAUUAAUGCACUCGUUUUUGGCUGCUGGGCCAAUCUGUUUCUCUUUGAGAUGCUUCUGUUUGCGGUUGCUUUAUGGGUUCUUAAUAGGGUUGGUUUUCCUUUUCUUUUUUUAUUUUUAAGUUCACCACCACCACUGCGACUAAUGAAUUUUACACCGUUGCCCUGCUUUCAAACCUACCAUCAAUUUAUCUGAACCCACAUAACUGCAACGCUCUCUUAAUUUAUGUUUCAUUCAGAGAACAAAGAGCCUCAAAGGCACUACUGUGUCUUCUCAAGUAAAAGAACUCAUGAAGAACUUAUAUCAGCUGAUUCCACUCAGAUACUCCUAAAGUGGGAAGUCCAAUUUUAAGCAACCAUUGGGAAAUAAUAAUUCUACCCAUUGAGCCAUAUAGUGCUAGCAGAAUCUGCAUUCAAAAUUGUAAAAUGUCAAUGCAUUAUGCAUAGCAUUUGAUUUUUACUUUGAUAUGUGGAAUUGACAACAGUCAUUCACAAUUCUUUAACUAUGCAUAUGUUUUAUAUUUAGACCAAAAAUUGAAAGGGUUUGAUCAGUCUGCAUGUCUUAGGCAUGUGUUCAGUCUGCAUCUUUUUUUCCUAGGAUUGGCGGUGCACAUAUUCAAACUAAAAUCAAGUUUAUCUU
This 3216-nucleotide unclassified non-coding RNA is filed under the name Hevea brasiliensis (rubber tree). Lineage: Eukaryota; Viridiplantae; Streptophyta; Magnoliopsida; Malpighiales; Euphorbiaceae. The record is from RNAcentral.